Molecule: ribosomal RNA, 446 nt
Filed under: uncultured bacterium
Lineage: Bacteria
Description: bacterial SSU rRNA
Rfam family: Bacterial small subunit ribosomal RNA
Source: RNAcentral
AUUGAACGCUGGCGGCAUGCCUUACACAUGCAAGUCGAACGGCAGCACGGGAGCAAUCCUGGUGGCGAGUGGCGAACGGGUGAGUAAUAUAUCGGAACGUGCCCAGUCGUGGGGAUAACGUAGCGAAAGCUACGCUAAUACCGCAUACGAUCUAUGGAUGAAAGCGGGGGAUCGCAAGACCUCGCGCGAUUGGAGCGGCCGAUAUCAGAUUAGGUAGUUGGUGAGGUAAAGGCUCACCAAGCCAACGAUCUGUAGCUGGUCUGAGAGGAUGAUCAGCCACACUGAGACUGAGACACGGUCCAGACUCCUACGGGAGGCAGCAGUGGGGAAUUUUGGGACAAUGGACGCAAGUCUGAUCCAGCCAUUCCGCGUGCAGGAUGAAGGCCCUCGGGUUGUAAACUGCUUUUGUACGGAACGAACGGUGAGCUCUAAUACAGUUUGCUAAU